CUGAAGCUGUAGGCAGGAUAUCUUAUUCAAUAAAAAUGGGAAAAGCUUUAGGUGUGGUUUCCUUACCCUUUUUCUUUUUCUUUUUUUUUUUUUUUUUUUGCAUUUCAUUUUAUAUCUUGCCCCUGAGAACUUGUUAUAUCUCACAAAUCAUGGAUUUGCUCUAAAUACUGUGGUUUACUAGCUUUCCAAAGUUCUGGGCCUUUCUGUCCUAAUGAUGAUACAGUAAUACUGGGUAAAAGUGAUUAAGCAUUUUUAUUUUUAUUUCUACUUCUUUAAUUAAUUUACUGGGGAUUUAGAAGCUUUGGAAAAAUAUUUUUUUUCCUGUGGCCUAUUAGAUAUUAUGGUGAAUUGGGAGCCUUACAGAAAACAUGAGAAAUUACACUCAUCUCUGUUUUCACAAGUUUAUUUGGUUGGCUUCAAGUCCUCUGUACUUUCAAAGAAAAACAGACAUAGAAAUGAAUAAGGCACUUUAAAGUUUGGAAAAAAUAUUUUGCAAAAUAGGGUGCAUGAUAGGUCUGGCACUGUCUGCCAAGUGUAGAUUUGUGCUAUGAGUACCGAAUGAAACAGUGCUGCUAAACUCAGCGCUUGUAUUCCCUUAGGAGGUGACAAAAAAGGAUGAGGGGCUUUGAAGACCUCCAGAAGCAGGUCUUUUCUGGCAAGUUGAGGCAUCUAAAUGACCUCCUCCCUGGGGGCCUGGAGAUGAAUCUGGGGUUUCCUAUUGAUCAUACAUGACACAAGACAGAUUAUGAAGUUUAGGUUCCCCCUUGCCCGAGCACCGCAUCCCUCUCACUUCUUCUGUGAGGAGGGGAGGACAAGGGCAGGGACUUUUGGCUUUCACCAGGCAUUUUCUUGCUCUCUGGUUCUACUUUGAUAUCAACCCCAGCUGGCGAGGGCUUAUGUUGUUGGUAGCUUUGCUACCGUGGGGAUGGAUCGAAGUUUGGGCAUGAAAUGAGGAGCUGGGAUACAGAUGAGAAUAAAAAUUGCCUUCUAUUAUUACACCUGUCUUUGCCGCCUUGCUCAGUAGGAUUGGCCAUGUCGGGGUCUCCGUUCCCCCGGGCGGAACGGCUUGAGCAAACUCUACCACUGCUCUGCGGGCUAUCCCUCAGCAGCGGCUCGGGCAGCUGCCCAGCCCCUGAAAGCCGCGGUCACCAGCCGUAUGCGGCUCCUGCCACACGCAGAGCUGUGAAUGAGGGUGCCGGGACGGCCCCUUCAGCUCCCCGGCUUCCCCCGGGCGGCUCUGGCCCGGCCCCGGCCCCGGCGAGCCCUGUGUGGGGCACGGGCCCUUCCUGGCGCCGCCCGGAGCCGCCCCCGCUCCGUGCCCGGCCCCGCGCUGCGGGCCCUUCGUUUGAAAAUAAAGCCGUCAUCAAAACCAUUCGGACACUGCAUGAAACUCGCCUGUUCACACCCUGCAGUAUCUGAACAAGAACCUGGCCCAGAUCGUAUGUUCUGCAUCUCCAUCUGUGCUGGACAGAAAUCCAGAGCUGAGGUCACAUUAAACCACAAUCCAAUUUUGUAGACAGUAUCCUGAGAAAAAGCAGAAAUUCUGAGAAAAACUCAUCCAUCCAUAACAAGGAAGUUCUUCUCAUCAGUGAACACAAAACCAGAGGAAAAGACCAACAAAGCAUGAGUUUACUUUGACCACUAAUUUGUGGAUGGCUAAUUGGAGAUGACUGUGUUACAGCAAGCAACAAAUGCUUAGUGUUUAUAUCAGGUAAUCCAGUGAAAUGGUCAAAGACAAGCCAAAUCAUUUACAGGAGGCUUUCAGUGUGGCAAAGGGUUUCAGAGUGCCUUUGCCAGCACACAGCUACGCUCUGCUGGAGAUGUUGCAUUUAACUGAUGCUUUGUGACUGAUCCUGGGCUCUGGAUGCAGGAGUAGAACCAUGUCUGCUCGUGUACAAGGAUUGGGUUUCUGGCUGUUGCUAUCCCUCAGAUAGUUAGGAACACGGAGUUGCAAACCCCUUUUGGGAAUGCCAAACACAGUCUCUAGAAAAUGAAUGCAUGAAAUAUCUCCUUUCAUAUAGGCACCUUUAAAAUAUGAUAUAGAGCUAUCACAUUUUAAAGUCACAAUAAAUUAAAAUUGGGAAAGGUGGGAAACCUUUUG
RNAcentral lists this long non-coding RNA (2101 nucleotides) under Parus major (Great Tit). RNAcentral's name for it is "lncRNA (ENSPMJG00000005631.1)". Lineage: Eukaryota; Metazoa; Chordata; Aves; Passeriformes; Paridae. The record is from RNAcentral.